GACGAACGCUGGCGGCGUGCUUAACACAUGCAAGUCGAACGGUAAGGCCCCUUCGGGGGUACACGAGUGGCGAACGGGUGAGUAACACGUGGGUAAUCUGCCCUGCACUUCGGGAUAAGCCUGGGAAACUGGGUCUAAUACCGGAUAUGAACUCCUGCCGCAUGGUGGGGGUUGGAAAGUUUUUCGGUGCAGGAUGAGCCCGCGGCCUAUCAGCUUGUUGGCGGGGUAAUGGCCUACCAAGGCGACGACGGGUAGCCGGCCUGAGAGGGUGAUCGGCCACACUGGGACUGAGACACGGCCCAGACUCCUACGGGAGGCAGCAGUGGGGAAUAUUGCACAAUGGGCGAAAGCCUGAUGCAGCGACGCCGCGUGGGGGAUGACGGUCUUCGGAUUGUAAACCCCUUUUCAGUAUUUUUCGAAAGCGCGG
RNAcentral lists this ribosomal RNA (427 nucleotides) under Dietzia sp. oral taxon 368. RNAcentral's name for it is "bacterial SSU rRNA". It matches the Rfam family "Bacterial small subunit ribosomal RNA", at positions 28 to 458 of the family's 1533-position model. Lineage: Bacteria; Bacillati; Actinomycetota; Actinomycetes; Mycobacteriales; Dietziaceae. The record is from RNAcentral.